This 406-nucleotide ribosomal RNA is filed under the name uncultured bacterium. RNAcentral's name for it is "bacterial SSU rRNA". It matches the Rfam family "Bacterial small subunit ribosomal RNA", at positions 355 to 775 of the family's 1533-position model. The record is from RNAcentral.
UGGGGAAUAUUGCGCAAUGGGGGAAACCCUGACGCAGCAACGCCGCGUGAAUGAAGAAGGCUUUCGGGUCGUAAAAUUCUGUCCUUAGGGAAGAAGAAAGUGACGGUACCUAAGGAGGAAGCCCCGGCUAACUACGUGCCAGCAGCCGCGGUAAUACGUAGGGGGCGAGCGUUGUCCGGAAUCACUGGGCGUAAAGGGCGCGUAGGCGGUAUAUUAAGUCAGGUGUGAAAGUUUUCGGCCCAACCGGAAAAGUGCACUUGAAACUAAUAAACUUGAGUACUGGAGAGGUAAGCGGAAUUCCUAGUGUAGCGGUGAAAUGCGUAGAUAUUAGGAGGAACACCGGUGGCGAAGGCGGCUUACUGGACAGAGACUGACGCUGAGGCGCGAAAGCGAGGGGAGCAAACAG